GACGAACGCUGGCGGCGUGCUUAGCACAUGCAAGUCGAACGAUGAAGAAGAGAAACGCGAACUUCGGUUCAAAUUUCACUUCGGAUUAGUGGCAGACGGGUGAGUAACGCGUGAGCAACCUACCUCUUACAAAGGGAUAGCCUCGGGAAACCGUGAUUAAUACCAUAUGACACAUUCAUAAGGCAUCUUAAGAAUGUUAAAGCUACGGCGGUAAGAGAUGGGCUCGCGUCCCAUUAGCUAGUUGGUGAGGUAACGGCCCACCAAGGCGACGAUGGGUAACCGGCCUGAGAGGGUGAACGGUCACAUUGGAACUGAGACACGGUCCAAACUCCUACGGGAGGCAGCAGUGGGGAAUAUUGCACAAUGGAGGGAACUCUGAUGCAGCGACGCCGCGUGAGCGAUGAAGGAAUUCGUUUCGUAAAGCUCUGUUCUAUGGGAAGAAAAGGACUGUACCAUAGGAGAAAGCCCCGGCUAAAUACGUG
RNAcentral lists this ribosomal RNA (482 nucleotides) under uncultured bacterium. Its description in RNAcentral is "partial 16S ribosomal RNA". It matches the Rfam family "Bacterial small subunit ribosomal RNA", at positions 28 to 507 of the family's 1533-position model. The record is from RNAcentral.